RNAcentral lists this transfer RNA (65 nucleotides) under Cordylochernes scorpioides. Its description in RNAcentral is "tRNA-Thr". Lineage: Eukaryota; Metazoa; Arthropoda; Arachnida; Pseudoscorpiones; Chernetidae. The record is from RNAcentral.
UCCAGGGGCGGGAAUCGAACCCACACCCUUCUGCUUACCGGGCAGGUGCCUUGUCCACUCGGCCG